GAUGAACGCUGGCGGCGUGCCUAAUACAUGCAAGUCGAGCGAACGGACGAGAAGCUUGCUUCUCUGAUGUUAGCGGCGGACGGGUGAGUAACACGUGGAUAACCUACCUAUAAGACUGGGAUAACUUCGGGAAACCGGAGCUAAUACCGGAUGAUAUUUUGAACCGCAUGGUUCAAAGGUGAAAGACGGUCUUGCUGUCACUUAUAGAUGGAUCCGCGCUGCAUUAGCUAGUUGGUAAGGUAACGGCUUACCAAGGCAACGAUGCAUAGCCGACCUGAGAGGGUGAUCGGCCACACUGGAACUGAGACACGGUCCAGACUCCUACGGGAGGCAGCAGUAGGGGAUCUUCCGCAAUGGGCGAAAGCCUGACGGAGCAACGCCGCGUGAGUGAUGAAGGUCUUCGGAUCGUAAAACUCUGUUAUUAGGGAAGAACAUAUGUGUAAGUAACUGUGCACAUCUUGACGGUACCUAAUCAGAAAGCCACGGCUAACUACGUG
RNAcentral lists this ribosomal RNA (497 nucleotides) under uncultured bacterium. RNAcentral's name for it is "partial 16S ribosomal RNA". It matches the Rfam family "Bacterial small subunit ribosomal RNA", at positions 28 to 507 of the family's 1533-position model. The record is from RNAcentral.